Long non-coding RNA from Wyeomyia smithii (pitcher-plant mosquito), 3214 nucleotides. RefSeq lists it as uncharacterized. The record is from RefSeq and is a predicted model, not a curated record. Lineage: Eukaryota; Metazoa; Arthropoda; Insecta; Diptera; Culicidae. The transcript has 3 exons.
GCUGCUAUCACCUAGCGUCCGCAUGUCACUGGUGCGGUUUUGGAAUCAGAAUGAUGGGGCGCCGGCCGCUGUCGUAAAAUUAACGCCAACAAAAAGAUGCAUAUUUGCAAGGUUUUUUCCGCUAGCAGCAGCAUAAACAUCGGAAACAGAAAGUGACAACAACAAUAACAACAAAGUCAGAUCGAUUGUAUCCGUUAGUGUCGACUGUGCUUGGGAAGAGAGGUAGUGAUUGGCUGCGCGGUAUGAUUUAGACAAUCGAUAUUAAUUACCAAUUUUUCAAUAGUGUAUCUCAAACAAUAGUUUGUUUUUGUUACAUAAAUUUAACCGUAAAAGAAUUUCUGAUCGAUUGAUGCCAAAACCUCGAAAACCUGAUUAUAGAUGACUGCAAAAUAAGCGCUCAAAACCUGACCACUUUUCUCUGGUUUUCCCUGGUUGAAUUACUAGAUUUUUAAAUUCAGGGGCCUAACUUCGAUAUAGACGUUAGUCAACGUCAAAAACUUGACCGAUCGUGUCUCCGGAGAAAUAUAGUCAAACGGUCAGACUCAGUUUUUUUUUGCUGCUGCAAUUGCGGGUUUUUGUCGUGUUCGCGUUGUGUUUGUUUGGCGAUGCUGAUUCACUUGCAAGUAGGAAAUCCAGCGAUCAAAUUGGACACAAAACACCCUUAUUCUUGUUUACGGCCGUAUCGCUUUCGUACGAAAGCAGCAGCGGCGUACGAAUGUGAUACGAACACAUACGAAUCCGAUUCGUUCUAACCAAUUCGAGCUUUCGAACAUCGUUGCUUUCGUACGAACGUGCCAUUCUUGUUUACGUACGUAUGCGUAUCCGUAUUCUUUUUGCUCUCGUUCGCAAACGUCAGUCAAAAGUUGCGAAUCGCUGUACGAAUCGCCGGCGCCGGUAGUUUUUUCUCGUUUUUCUGCUGUUUUGUGCAAGUUUUAUUUUUUGAAAAAUCGAAUAAGCCGAAGAAAAUUUGUUUUGUGAAGUGUGUGCAACAUUUGCGGUAAUCGAUUUCUAAAAAUUUUCCAGUUUUGGGAACGGAAUACCGCCAGCCGAAAGUUGCGGAUGGCUGUACGAAUCGCCGUCGCCACGGGUUUUUCUCGUUUUGUGUUUUUGAAAAAUUAUUUGGCUGAAGAAAAUUUCUAGCUAUGCGAAAUGUGUGCAACAUUUUCAAGAAAAACAUUUGUGACAUGGAUUUUUAAAAAAGUUUCCAGUUUUGCAAACGGAACAGCAACGUUAGUCAAAAAUUGUGGAUCGCUAUACGAAUCUUUUUACAAAUCGCCGGCGCCGGUAGGUUUUUCUCUUUUUUUUUCGCUGUUUUGUGUUAGUUAAUUGGAAAAAUCGAAUGAGCCGAAGAAAAUUUAUCUAGUGGAUUGUUUAAUAAAUAAUCGUUAUCGAUUUUCUAAAAUUCAUUUUGGUAACGGAACGGAACAUCAAAGUCAGUCGAAAGUUGCGAAUCGCUGCGAGAAUCACCAGCGCCGGUAGUUUUUCCUCGUUGUUUCGCUGCUUGGUGUUGGUUCUUUGAAAAAAAUUGAAUGAGUCGAAGAAAAUUUGUUGUUUCGUGAAGUGUGUGCAACACCCAGAAAAACAUCCAGGAUUUGUGACAAUCGAUUUUUAAAAUCUUCAGUUUCAGAAACGGAACACCGUUAGUCGAAAGUUGCGGAAACGAAUGUACGAAUCGCCGUCGUCGCGGGUUUGUUUCUCGUUUUCCUGCUGUUUCGUGUAAGGUUUUUUUUUUGAAAAAUGGCCGAAGAAAAUUCCUAGUUUAGCGAAGUUUGUGUAACAUUUUCAAGAAAAACAUUUGUGACAAUGGAUUUUUUAAAAUCUAAAUGAAUCGCUAUACGUAUCUCUCUACAAAUCGACGGCGCCGGUACUUUUUUCUCGUUUUUUUCAAGUUGCAAAUGUUUGUACAAAUCGCUGUCGCCGCGGGAUGCUUUGGUUGUUUUGUGUGAAAAAAUCGAAUAAGUUGGACAUUAUUGUUCUAGUGAAAUGUUCAGUGCUAAGAAACCAUGCGGUAAUUAAUUUGAAAAAUGUUGAAAAUUGAGCACAGCCGAUAGAAAUUGAUUGAGGUUUGCCGUUAGUUCUGGGAGAAUGGCGAUAAAAAAUUUAUAAGUCGCUACCAUAAAUGUACUAAUUAUCAAUAAUCUGCCGAAAAUUUGGAUCGUCGGGAACAGCAAAAAGUCAACCACCAAGUAGAUUCUGAUUGGCGCAGAUAGUUGACUGGGUAACAGGAUAUAGGAUAAUCAAUUUAACAUUACUUAAGUGAUAUAGAUGCCGAUGUGUAUACUAGGAAUAAUCGAUCAGGAGCUACUGGAAAUUACUUAAAGUCAAAUCGAGUCACGAUUCUCUUUCCGACAAAUAUUUAUACUUGCUAUGAGAGAUAACUUUGCUGGAAGACUAAGAAUACAACAAAGGAACCAAUUCCCUCGGAUGCUUCACAAAACCGCGUGCUACAAUUCAGAGAGCUGGUUCCGUUUAGUGUUGAUCAAAAUACAAAUGCCGUAUAAUUUAAUUUAAUUUUAUCAAUAAUAAUAAUGAAUUAAUUUUAAUUAUUUUCAUAAUCGAUUGUUAUAUAUAUAUAUCUAGUUAUGGUUCUGACGUGAAGCACUUUGGUUUAUCUUCCGGGAGCGUAAAUUAUUUAAUAAAGGUGAUUGACAUUAGAACGCAAUCGCAAGUUCGAGUUUUUUCCCAGCAAUAAUUUUUUUUUUUAACAACAAGUUUAACGAAAGUAUUCAUAUUUGUGAUCGAAAAACUAGAAAAAAGCCUAUUUAGAUCUAAAAAGAUAAAAAAUCAAUCAACUGGUUCCAGAGGCGUCGCGUGGUUGAUUUCGUCACAUGUGCACCGAACAUUUAUUUAAGUUCUUUUUCCUUAAAUGAAAGAAGCAAAUCAAACCUAAGUGAUUGAUGCUUUGAAUUAAAGGGUGUCGCUAGUAUGCUUACUUGUUUUUAUAGGUUAUUAUAUUUCGAUAAUUGCAUAUGCUCGGAUAUUAGGGAAUAGUGUACCUGUGCAGUGCACAGGUGGACCCGACGCCAUUAAUUGGUUAAAAAAUUAUGGAUGUUUGAAAAUAAAAUACUGCGAAUAAAGCCGUUUUUAUUGGGCACCCUAUUAUUAGGUUUAAUUAAAUAUUCACGAUGUCAGCAUUGCAAAUUGUUUCUCUCAAAAAGCCCUAGAAGUCGUUCAAAGAUAGUUUUAAUGUAACAAUUUAAAUAAAAGCAGUAAG